Molecule: transfer-messenger RNA, 358 nt
Filed under: Beijerinckiaceae bacterium RH AL1
Lineage: Bacteria; Pseudomonadati; Pseudomonadota; Alphaproteobacteria; Hyphomicrobiales; Beijerinckiaceae
Also listed under: 2 other names
Description: transfer-messenger RNA, SsrA
Rfam family: Alphaproteobacteria transfer-messenger RNA
About the family: Bacterial tmRNA, also known as 10Sa RNA or SsrA, is named for its dual tRNA and mRNA-like properties.
Source: RNAcentral
AUAUUGCCUUUGCCGCCCUCGUGGCGGCUAUGGCGAUAAACGGCGUCGAAAUAAGCUUUUCGGACCCGGGGGCGGUACCCGGCGCCUCCACCCGAGCGCAUUGGUCGCAGCUCUGCUCGAGCCUGCGAGCGGCGCGUUCCGGCGGGGGCGAAAUAGGUUCGACGGGAAGUGUAAAGGACGAUCUUUUGCCCGGCAUUGUACCGCCGUUAUCGGGCUAAACUUAUAGUUGCCAACGACAACUAUGCUCCGGUGGCCCUCGCCGCGUAAUGCGGUGACGGUACCGAUUCAAAGUCCUUUGGGGUAGCACUCAAAGGCGGGGUUCGGAGGCACCUGGCAACAGAAGCCUCCACUUUCAUGC